Long non-coding RNA from Xenia sp. Carnegie-2017, 331 nucleotides. RefSeq lists it as uncharacterized. The record is from RefSeq and is a predicted model, not a curated record. The transcript has 2 exons. NCBI's taxonomy places the organism in Eukaryota, Metazoa, Cnidaria, Anthozoa, Malacalcyonacea, Xeniidae.
UGAUCAACAUGGCGGCGGAUCAUCGAAAAGAAAGUUCGCCAUCAUCUAGCGACUUUGUGUUUUGUUGCAAUUGCUCUUCAAAAAUUAGAAGCACAUCCCAAUACUGCUGGAAAUGCCAGGCUGAUCAAUCAAAGAUUGGUCCACCUGACUGGAAGCCACAAACAUCUUCCAGCGAAGGAGAAUCAUCCAUAUGCAAUGCAACCUGUAGCUCCAACAAAAAGGGAUCUUUUGGAAGGCCAGUAAUCUCAGGUGAACCAAAAACUUUGUCGCUUGAAGAUUACAUGCAACGCAAGUCCAAAGAGCAAAUUUCUGGACAUACUUUUCGCCCCAA